Molecule: long non-coding RNA, 1797 nt
Organism: Monodelphis domestica (gray short-tailed opossum)
Lineage: Eukaryota; Metazoa; Chordata; Mammalia; Didelphimorphia; Didelphidae
Source: Ensembl
UGCGUGCCUUCAACCCCUCUAGUUCCCACAGAACGCGGGGCGCGAAAUUUCAGCUCCGACAGAAGGGAAAAGGGAUAUGAGAAGAGAAGACAGAAGGGAGUAGAGUCUCCUUGAUAAAGGCUCUCGGUUUAAACCUAAGGCAAAAUGAGCAAAUGGCACUUAAUCCAUGUCCUUUCCCUGGCUCUCAACCCCUCGGCUUUGCCCAGUUUCUUUAGCCGCCAGAAAUUUGUUAGUGUCGAAAUUACUAAGUAAAAACGCGAAUGAAAGUGAGGCGAUUAACCUGCCCUUAAGCUUUCAAGCCUCGAAUCCAGGGAAAGGUCGGUGAGAUUAAGACGGAUAUAUUCCGUAUCUGAUGCGGCUGCUAGCUGGCUACCUGUUUGCAAAGUAGCGCUGGAGUGGGGAUGGGUUGUGCUGGAAUGAAGCUGAUCAACCAGCUCGAACUCUCCCAGGCUUUAGCCGGCCGGCAGCGGGAGUCGCAGGGAACUGGAAACCCAAAGGGGUCAUUCAUGCCUCAGGGGCUGCUUUAAAGCCCAAUCACCGGAAACCAACCCAGGAACUGAGAAGACCCUCCGCUGCAAGCAGUUCCGAGCCCGCUCCCAAGUACCGGGCUCUGAAGAGAUCUGCAACUGCAAACCAUGGACUCUAGGUUGAGUGCAAUGAAGCAUGCAUAUGCAAAAGACAGAGCGCCUGCCUGUGUGUGUGCACUUGGCGUGCCCCCCGGUGCGCCUGCAGUUCGCUCUGCUCCUGCAGCCGCUGCUGCCGCCGCCGCCGCCGCUGGCUCCAAGCACCGAACAACAGCCGAGAGGGAGAGAGAGCGCGAGCGCGAGCGGGAGGAGAGGAGAGGAGAGGAGCGCGAGCCCGGAGCCCCCAGCACCGGGAGAGCAGGAAGCGCGUCAUCAUUCUGGGACGGCUCGGCCUUUUUUUUUUUUCCCCCUUCUCCAUCCCAAACUGCGCCGGGUUCCCCCACCCCGAAGCUCUGCUGGGGGCUUGGCGCUAUGCUUUCCCCAUGGCCAUGCCAGGAACACCGGCUUCGCCCUUGCGGAGGCCGCUGCCGAGACGGGAAUUCUUGAGGCGAGGCGAGGCGAGGCGAGGCCGGGGAAGGAGCUGUCCCUGCUACGGUCGCGCUAACCCCCCCACCCCCACCCCGCGGGGUGAACUGAGUGACCCCCCCCCCCAGCCUCCCCAGCAAAUCCCCUGCAGCCCGGUGUUACUUAUUCUAUUAAAAUUGUUUAAGGCAGUGGUAGAGGGAGCAGAAGACAGUUUAGAGAGGGAACUUUUCUCUACGGGAAAGAGUCCAGUCAGCUUCUGCACGUGGACGACUAUUGGAAAUCUGGAACGUGUGACCAGUUACAGAUGUUCGGCCAUCCCCCUCAGUGACCUGCCCUGGGAGCCAGCUCUGGGCUUUUUUUUUUUUCCCCCAACCUGCCGGAUAGAAUCCUAGACUUGGAGCCUUAGAAGAACAAGGUUCAAAUCCGCGUGGACAAGUCAGUGGAACUGCUGUCUUCUUCAGUUUUCUCACCUGUAAAAAGAUAGAGCUUUGGAAGACCAGGGUUCAAAUCCACUCUCAAGCACUGCCUGUGUGACCUCUAGGCAAGUCACUGAAAUCUCUGCUUCCAAUUUUUUCAUCUAUAAAUUGGGGAAUAAUAUUUCCCACAGCCAAAGGGUUAUUGUGAGGAUGAGAUGAUAUCUGUAAAGGGAUACCUAAAUGUUAGUUUAAAUUGUUGUUAUUCAAUCCAAUUCAAACAGAAAACUGCUGAUUGGUCCGAAGUUAUUCAAUAAACAUUUAUUAAGGGCCCA